This 79-nucleotide transfer RNA is filed under the name Bacteriophage sp. RNAcentral describes it as "tRNA-Met". It matches the Rfam family "tRNA". From Rfam's summary of the family: Transfer RNA (tRNA) molecules are approximately 80 nucleotides in length. Their secondary structure includes four short double-helical elements and three loops (D, anti-codon, and T loops). RNAcentral also lists the same sequence under 2 other names. The record is from RNAcentral.
CGUGGAGUAGAGAAGUGGUCAUCUCGCUAGGCUCAUAACCUAGAAAUCGUCAUAAACGGUUCGAAUCCUACCUCCGCAA